CAUUUGCAAGAAAUUGAGGAGCUGUGCACAGAAUUUCCCUCGACUGUAGUUUUGCUUGAUCAUGUAGCUUUCUGUAAGCCCCCAAAAAAUGAUGAAGAAAGACGAGGUUACUCAGAGCUGUUAAAGCUUUCAAGAUUCCCACAGGUAUAUGUAAAGUUUAGUGCUUUGUUCAGAGUGUCGAGAAAUCCUUAUCCAUAUGAGGACUUGCCUCAUGUUCUUCCCCAACUAGUCUCCAGUUAUGGUGCACAUCGUAUCAUGUGGGGAAGUGAUUUCCCCUACGUUGUUGCCGAAUGUGGGUAUAAAGAAGCAAGAGAAGCAGUUUCUUAUCUUGCUAAACAGGGACAUUUACCUUCUUCUGCCACGGAGUGGAUCAUGGGUAAAACAAUUAUGCAGCUGUUUGACGGAAAAUGGAGUUCUGUAGCUAAUUGAACACGAAACUUGACAACUAGCAAUAACAGGUUAGAUGAUAUUUCAAACAUGUCAUUGAACCCUUAAUUGUACUUGCGCAUAUCAAAAGCUCUACCUACGUGUUCAUGAGAAUCUAGUAACUUUUGCUCAUACACUAUGAAAAAUUCGUGCAAG
This 582-nucleotide unclassified non-coding RNA is filed under the name Hevea brasiliensis (rubber tree). The record is from RNAcentral. Lineage: Eukaryota; Viridiplantae; Streptophyta; Magnoliopsida; Malpighiales; Euphorbiaceae.